This 1025-nucleotide long non-coding RNA is filed under the name Homo sapiens (human). RNAcentral describes it as "HSALNT0256286". Lineage: Eukaryota; Metazoa; Chordata; Mammalia; Primates; Hominidae. The record is from RNAcentral.
CACAGAAUGAAAAUUCCUCACUUGCAUUUGCAUCUCUUCCACCUGCACCCCUCACACCACACACACGCACGUGCACACACACACAAUCUAUAGCGACUUGGUAGGGAUAGAAGCAAUAUAUAAAUGGUCAAAAGAUGCACCACAUCAGAGAACGCAGAUGUGCAGCCUUGCAUGCUAAGGUGAGAGAGGGAGAACUGCCUUUGUUACCAAACCUGCUUCAGUUCCCCCAGAGCAGCUUUGACAAACUCAUUCAUUCUGCCAAACUCAUGUGAGCUUCUCAGGAUGGACCUAGAGAGUAGCCAAACAUUUCCUUCAUUUCUUUUUCAUGGAUCCCAUCCUUGGGCCAUAAAGGAAGGGAAAUAAGAAGACUUGGGAGUUCCAGAGAGCUGCUGUCAGAGCCCAGCUGCAACGCUUGGGAGCCAAGUUAUUUAACUAUUCUUAAACCUCACUUUUCUCCAUGCAGUUGCACAGCUGUUGUCGGGAUUAGCAUUUCUAUGCUUAAAAUGCUCUAAGUCCUCACUCUUGUAAUCCCAGCUCUCUUUGAGAAGCCGAGCUGGGACUACACCACUCCUGGCUCAUACUGUAUUCUUAAGGAAGGACGUGGUAUUAUUUCCAGUUUAUAUCUGUAGAGCAUCUGUAGAGUGAAGGGGCAGAAGCAUCAAUUCUGACAACUUCAGGCCUUUGCUCCCAAUGCACAUUGAACAUUUUUCAUGUGUCAUGCUGGGUGCUGCGUAAACACAACAUGCAUGGCUCACACUCUCACUGGCUGACUGUCUUUGGGAGAAAGAAGAUAUCAAAGGAGAUUUAUAAGAGUAAAAUGACUUCCCAGGAGAAGUGCAGGCAGCCACAGUAAUUUGGAACCACCUGGUCCAUGAAGCGUUCAGCAGAAGCUUCCUCCAGAAGCUUCGUUUUACUUGAGAUCUGAUUAAUCUUUUUUGUUUUUUUGUUUAUUUUACUUUAAGUUUUAGGGUACAUGUGCACAACGUGCAGGUUUGUUACAUAUAUAUAUAUGUGCCAUGUUGGUG